RNAcentral lists this ribosomal RNA (327 nucleotides) under uncultured eukaryote. RNAcentral describes it as "partial 18S ribosomal RNA". It matches the Rfam family "Eukaryotic small subunit ribosomal RNA", at positions 1470 to 1796 of the family's 1831-position model. The record is from RNAcentral.
CCCCUAGAUGUUCUGGGCCGCACGCGCGCUACACUGAACAGUUCAACAAGUCUUAACCUUGGCCGAUAGGUCUGGGUAAUCUUUGAACGCUGUUCGUGAUUGGGAUAGACCUUUGCAAUUAUGGGUCUUCAACGAGGAAUUCCUAGUAAACGCAAGUCAUCAGCUUGCAUUGAUUACGUCCCUGCCCUUUGUACACACCGCCCGUCGCUCCUACCGAUUGAAUGGUCCGGUGAAGCGUUUGGACUAUGGUUUUCUGACGGUUCGCCAUUGGAUUACCGUGGGAAAUUCGUUAAACCUUAUCAUUUAGAGGAAGGAGAAGUCGUAACA